UCCCGAGCGGCCAAAGGGAGCAGACUGUAAAUCUGCCGUCAUCGACUUCGAAGGUUCGAAUCCUUCC
RNAcentral lists this transfer RNA (67 nucleotides) under Klebsiella aerogenes. RNAcentral's name for it is "tRNA-Tyr". It matches the Rfam family "tRNA", at positions 9 to 64 of the family's 71-position model. Rfam says of the family: Transfer RNA (tRNA) molecules are approximately 80 nucleotides in length. Lineage: Bacteria; Pseudomonadati; Pseudomonadota; Gammaproteobacteria; Enterobacterales; Enterobacteriaceae. The record is from RNAcentral. RNAcentral also lists the same sequence under 47 other names.